This 224-nucleotide unclassified non-coding RNA is filed under the name plant metagenome. RNAcentral describes it as "partial contains small subunit ribosomal RNA, internal transcribed spacer 1, and 5.8S ribosomal RNA". The record is from RNAcentral.
UUUCCGUAGGUGAACCUGCGGAAGGAUCAUUAGUGAAUUGAAUAUGUUAGCGGACCUCUUCGGAGUCCCUAGCAUCAAAUCAUAUCCAUAACACCUGUGAACUGUAAGGCUGUCUUGAAAACGAAAGUGAUUAGAGCGCCUGCCCAUUUUAUCAAACAUUAAAGUAACAAACGUAGUCUUAUUAUAGUCUAAUAAAACUUUCAACAACGGAUCUCUUGGCUCUC